ACAACGAACCCGUGGAGCUCCCGUGUCAUACACAGCGUCUGGCCAUUCGACAAUAACCACACUUGUAAUCAGUAGCUGGUCACGAUUUCCGUGACAUUAAUUGCUCAUAAAAAUGCUCCUGCGUUAUCGAUAACUUUUCAUUUCACUGUAGCAACUAGCUAGCUGGCACCAGGUAACUACCCGCCAGGCAUGUUCGCUGUUGUUCGUGAGAGGCAUAAGACUCUGGGCUGGUUUAAAAGAUGGAAAAUUUUCGACUCACCAUUCCAGCCAAGUUCCAGUGGGACUGUAAUGCAUUAAAAUGUCUGGCAUUUUCUUCACAAGGAGCCACGGAAUCAAGACAAGUUCAAGAGGUUACACCGUCACGAAUGGGUAUUAAUUGGAGCUUGCGGAUUAAAAUAUGUAACAAGACCUGUAAUAAAAAUAUUUAUAAUUUGGAGAUGUCAUAUAAAACUAUUUAGUAGAAUUGAAUGUCAGCGUAAUUAAUCACUUGACGCGUCCUGUGAUUGAAAUAAAUUUACGGUUUUUAGCGUGUCGAGCAAAAAGACAGAUUUCUCUUCUGUUGCGCUUAAAAAGUUUUGAUUUCACCGCCUGGAGGAAGAGCGAUAAAAUAAAAAAAAGUAAACGGAGAGAGACCCCGAUAGACUGGUCGUGGUCACGUAUUGCAACAAUCGGAAAUCAGAGAGAAAGACGGCGGAAGUGGCUGUAUAGGGGCCCUUGGGGUCCCUUUUACCGAUACGCACGAACGCGGCGCCUCCAUAGAUACAGAUACAGAUAUAGAUAUACAAUAUAAUAAAUAUACAUAAAUAAAAUAUAUAUUUAUUUAUUUAUUUACGUGUAGGAACGAUGCUGUAGACACUCUCAGGAAUAUAUUUGCCCUGGCAGAUGGCUCAAAAAAAGCCGAUCGGCGGAAACGCUCGGCCAGUUGGAACGGCGACCCGUGGGAGAAAUAGGAUUCAGCUCGGUUAGUUGGUGGAUGAAACCAACGCCUGCCCAGGAAUCACGACGACGGCCACGACGCCUGGGAACUGGAAUUUCUUAACUUCUUCCGACAAUACUCCUAUCCUCUUGCUUUAUACAUACAACAUACAACAUAUUCAUAUAUAUGCAUCUACAUCUACAUCUACCCACCCAGACACCGUGUAAGAAUGUGUUGUAAGAAAGACCUCAGAAGGGCUACAGCCCCGUUACAAGCUAGUUAUACGCCAAAGAGUAAAGAUUUUAUUGCGUGUCGCGGACUUGGGACCCGCAUGCUAUGCACUUAACCGGUGCGGGUGUCAACUUGGUGUCGUUCUAAUCACCAGCCAAUAGAAGUUUCUUGUUAUGUCGGAAAGCACUACACCCAGAGGAAUAAUACUUCUAUUUUUUACUCUUGCUCUAAAGAGCCCAGAGGUAAUUACUUUAGCUAGGAGCUUAGAGCGCCGACGAUCGUUAAGUUUAUUCAAAUAGGAUCCUAGUUCGUAGAACUGCCAGCAAGGACUGCAUAGCAAUAAAUAAGACUAUUUUUAAGCUGCUCGACAUACGAGUUAAUAAAAGUUGGGAACAAAAGAAAGAGAAAAUCGGCAUCAGCUGAAGGUUAUUGUGCAACACAAUCGCAAAUCGCAAUAGACUUCCCAGAACAGUGGACAAUUAAAAUUAUUAUAACUGAGCAAGACCGUGAGCAAAUAAAAUGCAAACGGUGCUAUACAUACAACAUUGAUAUGAGCAGCUCUUGCUAUUAUUCACCACUCUACUCACUCGCAAUGUUAAUACAUUAUAUCGUGCAGUGUCGUUAUCCAUUAUUGCCAGCUAUUGCUAGUCCAAUGGUACUGCAUUGGGACUGACUCUGACUAGGCUAGCUGCGCUCGAAGAAGGCCGUCGUUGAUCGUUUCGUUGUAAGGUUUGCUUACAAGUCGCAAUCACUCGGCCUGACCUCGCUUGAGAUAGCCAGAUAAAAUAAUUGAUUAUUAAUGUAAUAUCUAAUGUAAUGUAAUGUAAUGUGUCUAGUUGCAUGCAUGAGAAACUGUUUUUAUGGAUAUGUUUAAUAAUAAUACUUAUCCCGUGCAUGAUCCUGUCACCAAGUACAAGAUACAAUAAAUCUAAUAUAUUAUAAAUUU
RNAcentral lists this long non-coding RNA (2093 nucleotides) under Cotesia glomerata. RNAcentral describes it as "uncharacterized LOC123265266, transcript variant X1". Lineage: Eukaryota; Metazoa; Arthropoda; Insecta; Hymenoptera; Braconidae. The record is from RNAcentral.